GGGGUUGUGGCUCAAAGAUAGAGUGCUCGCCUAGCAUGUGUGAGGCCCUGGGUUCAAUCCUCAGCACCA
This is a non-coding RNA of Ictidomys tridecemlineatus (thirteen-lined ground squirrel), 69 nucleotides long. NCBI's taxonomy places the organism in Eukaryota, Metazoa, Chordata, Mammalia, Rodentia, Sciuridae. The record is from Rfam.